Molecule: ribosomal RNA, 254 nt
Filed under: uncultured bacterium
Lineage: Bacteria
Description: partial 16S ribosomal RNA
Rfam family: Bacterial small subunit ribosomal RNA
Source: RNAcentral
UACGGGGGGAGCAAGCGUUGUUUGGAUUUACUGGGCGUAAAGGGCGCGUAGGCGGCCACCGCAAGUCGACUGUGAAAUCUCCGGGCUUAACCCGGAAAGGUCAGCCGAUACUGCGGGGCUAGAGUGCAGAAGGGGCAACUGGAAUUCUCGGUGUAGCGGUGAAAUGCGUAGAUAUCGAGAGGAACACCUGCGGCGAAGGCGGGUUGCUGGGCCGACACUGACGCUGAGGCGCGAAAGCUAGGGGAGCGAACGGG